CGCACAAGGCUCGACCACACACAGACACUUUUCCAAUCAUUUUCUAACAUCUACAAUAAAAACAUUGGCAUUUUCUCGCACAGUCUCUGUCCUCUCAUCCUUUCCAGGUAAGAUGGCCAUCCCAGUGUUGUGGCAGUCGUUUUAGCAUUACCCAUCAGCGGAGGAGACCCGGGGGGGCAGAGUGUCUGAGCUGCUGAGGCCCCUCGGCCUGUAUGAACUCCAAGCCAAAAUCAUCAUCAGGUUCUCUGAUGAGUAGCUGACCAAGCUGUGGCGCUACCCUAUAGAGCUGCAUGGGAUUGGGAUGUACGGCAAUGACUCCUACAGGAUCUUCUGUGUAGAGGAGUGGAGACAGAGGUGAAACCCCAGGACCGUGAGCUGAACAAGUACCAUGCCUGGUUGUGGGAGAACCAAGAGAGGUUGGGAAUCUGAACUAUGAGGAACUGCAAUGUCACAUUUUAUCCCAACCUGUUUUAUCAGUGGAAGAAUGUUAUAUUUCUUAAUUCAUUAGCCUUAUAACCUGGCUGACAUACCGGUAUCUCUCUUGGAAAUUAUCCAGAAAUUAAGCUACUACUGAUCCCAUCUACUCUCAAGACUCAGUAGUAACA
This is a long non-coding RNA of Coregonus clupeaformis (lake whitefish), 605 nucleotides long. RefSeq lists it as uncharacterized. The record is from RefSeq and is a predicted model, not a curated record. The transcript has 3 exons. NCBI's taxonomy places the organism in Eukaryota, Metazoa, Chordata, Actinopteri, Salmoniformes, Salmonidae.